CUUGCUUUCCGUGUGUCUAACUCCUGAGUGUGAGGUAGAAGUCCAGCCUGUGCUGCUCUAGAGGGGUUUACACAGAUGCCUUGACCUCCAUGUUGUGUUCCUGAGGGGUUGUUGACUCUCAGUGAUUCCACAGACAAACAGAUCAGCUUCCGUCCAGUUCUCUGCGGUUUACAGCAAACACGGCUACGGCAGACGCAGCAUGGAGCUAGCUGGAGUGCUCUCCAUGUCCGUGUCCAUGGCUUACAUUAUCUGUGCUGGACUGGGAGGCCGGACAGCUCAGCCAAGAGAGGUCAAGCCUCUCAUCUCGGUACUGUAAACAACGCCAGUAGUGGAGAACUCCGCUUGUAUGUGUGUGUGUGUGUUCGCCAGGAGAUAAAACCAUAACGGAAAGCUCUGUUGCCUUCAUGGAGGUCUCUGAAAGUGUCCAGGGGACUCUGAAAGGACUUUGCAGGAAACUGGGUCAUCCCCUGCGCACCACAGAAGAAGAGAAUGACAGCUCAUGCUUGGAGCCAAACUGGGUCAUCCCCUGCGCACCAAAGAAGAAGAG
Clupea harengus (Atlantic herring) is the source of this 547-nucleotide long non-coding RNA. NCBI's taxonomy places the organism in Eukaryota, Metazoa, Chordata, Actinopteri, Clupeiformes, Clupeidae. The record is from Ensembl.